This 453-nucleotide ribosomal RNA is filed under the name uncultured bacterium. Its description in RNAcentral is "partial 16S ribosomal RNA". It matches the Rfam family "Bacterial small subunit ribosomal RNA", at positions 28 to 507 of the family's 1533-position model. The record is from RNAcentral.
GAUGAACGCUGACAGAAUGCUUAACACAUGCAAGUCAACUUGAACUUCGGUUUGGGUGGCGGACGGGUGAGUAACGCGUAAAGAACUUGCCUCACAGCUAGGGACAACAUUUGGAAACGAAUGCUAAUACCUGAUAUUAUGAUUAUAUGGCAUCGUAUAAUUAUGAAAGCUAUAUGCGCUGUGAGAGAGCUUUGCGUCCCAUUAGCUAGUUGGAGAGGUAACAGCUCACCAAGGCGAUGAUGGGUAGCCGGCCUGAGAGGGUGAUCGGCCACAAGGGGACUGAGACACGGCCCUUACUCCUACGGGAGGCAGCAGUGGGAAUAUUGGACAAUGGACCGAGAGUCUGAUCCAGCAAUUCUGUGUGCACGAUGAAGUUUCUCGGAAUGUAAAGUGCUUUCAGUUGGGAAGAAAAAAAUGACGGUACCAACAGAAGAAGUGACGGCUAAAUACGUG